GACGAACGCUGGCGGCGUGCUUAACACAUGCCAGUCGAACGGAAAGGCCCUGCUUUUGUGGGGUGCUCGAGUGGCGAACGGGUGAGUAACACGUGAGUAACCUGCCCUUGACUUUGGGAUAACUUCAGGAAACUGGGGCUAAUACCGGAUAGGAGCUCCUGCUGCAUGGUGGGGGUUGGAAAGUUUCGGCGGUUGGGGAUGGACUCGCGGCUUAUCAGCUUAUUGGUGGGGUAGUGGCUUACCAAGGCUUUGACGGGUAGACGGCCUGAGAGGGUGACCGGCCACAUUGGGACUGAGAUACGGCCCAGACUCCUACGGGAGGCAGCAGUGGGGAAUAUUGCACAAUGGGCGGAAGCCUGAUGCAGCAACGCCGCGUGCGGGAUGACGGCCUUCGGGUUGUAAACCGCUUUCGCCUGUGACGAAGCGUGAGUGACGGUAAUGAGUAAAGAAGCACCGGCUAACUACGUG
Molecule: ribosomal RNA, 468 nt
Filed under: uncultured bacterium
Lineage: Bacteria
Description: partial 16S ribosomal RNA
Rfam family: Bacterial small subunit ribosomal RNA
Source: RNAcentral